GGAGAGUCAAUGUUGCGCUAUGCAGCAACAGGCGGGAGAUAGAAUGUUGCGUUGUGCAGCAUCCAGCACAAAUGGGUUAAGCUGUGACAACAUAGACG
Molecule: long non-coding RNA, 98 nt
Organism: Alosa sapidissima (American shad)
Lineage: Eukaryota; Metazoa; Chordata; Actinopteri; Clupeiformes; Clupeidae
Exons: 3
Source: RefSeq, a predicted model, not a curated record